UACGGGGGGGGUAAGCGUUGUUCGGAUUUACUGGGCGUAAAGGGCGCGUAGGCGGUCAGCACAAGUCAGUUGUGAAAUCUCCGGGCUUAACUCGGAAAGGUCAACUGAUACUGUGCGACUAGAGUGCGGAAGGGGCAACUGGAAUUCUCGGUGUAGCGGUGAAAUGCGUAGAUAUCGAGAGGAACACCUGCGGCGAAGGCGGGUUGCUGGGCCGACACUGACGCUGAUGCGCGAAAGCCAGGGGAGCGAACGGG
Molecule: ribosomal RNA, 254 nt
Filed under: uncultured bacterium
Lineage: Bacteria
Description: partial 16S ribosomal RNA
Rfam family: Bacterial small subunit ribosomal RNA
Source: RNAcentral